UUUGGGGAACCACUGAGUUUCUCCUCAAUCUCUGCGAUGCUUCUUUGAAAUACUCCAAAUAUCUCCUCAGCAGCCGCAGUCAGUAUCUGCUCCACCGACACCCUCAGCUUAUGCAUUUCACACAUUUUAUCACUUUUUCGACACACACUUUUGCAACGAAACC
This is a long non-coding RNA of Sphaeramia orbicularis (orbiculate cardinalfish), 163 nucleotides long. RefSeq lists it as uncharacterized. The transcript is spliced from 3 exons. The record is from RefSeq and is a predicted model, not a curated record. NCBI's taxonomy places the organism in Eukaryota, Metazoa, Chordata, Actinopteri, Kurtiformes, Apogonidae.